Long non-coding RNA from Homo sapiens (human), 719 nucleotides. The record is from Ensembl. NCBI's taxonomy places the organism in Eukaryota, Metazoa, Chordata, Mammalia, Primates, Hominidae.
AGCUUUUUCAAGGCUGCUCUUUCUUCUGUUCUGCUGCAAGCCACUAAUGCUUCUCCAUUUACUUCCUGUCUUCUGAAAAUUCAUUAAAACUUCUUGUAUGUUGAUGAGGGAACCGAGAUCUGAAGAAGAGAAAUGACCUAUCCAAGUUCCCCCAGCUGGGGCCAGUUCUUCUGUUUCACCUAGAAUUGGAUGUUCCAACUCCUGCCGAGGUCCUCUCUUGGGUCCUGAUUUUCCUUGCAAACUGACCAAAGGAAGCUUCCAGAAGCAACUGUCCACUACAAGAGGAAGGUGUGGCCAUGAGGGAAGACGGAGGCUCCAGAGGUCCUGGCUCUGCAGAGACCGCGGUGCUGCCUCCCAGCCUGCCUGAAACCUGACUUGGUUUGCACCAGCGGGUGCCCAGGCCUCCACAGAGUCUUCGGUUCUCCAGGUUUCCCAUGCCGCCAUUCUUGAUCAGUUUUCAUCUCACCUCUGUGGUUUCUACCUCCUGUAGAUGCUUCAACUCCGCCACUGAAGCCAAUGCUGCCUGCUUCCUCCGGUGACAGCAGCAAAGCAGGCAGCAGUGGCCUUGGAGGCUCUGGCUGGACCCACUGUCAUGCAUUGUCUUCCACGGUUACUCAGGCACCUUUCCUUUACCUGGAAAAUAUCUCUGAGCUCAAACAUUCAACUCACAUCUUGGAGCCAUAACAAAUAAAGGAAGACGGCUUUGGUAACUCAGUAAA